GUUUGUUGAUGGCAGAGCUUUGUCUUCUGUGAAUACACAGGGAAUCUUUCUUUGGGAUGCCCCUUCCCAAAGCCAGGGAUGAGGAAAAGACUACCAUCUGAUGGAGAUAACCCACCGAUUUGAAGGACAACAUCCUUAAGGCCUUCAGCAUUCCAAGGAACGUAUACAAGGUCUAUUUCUUGCUCUUGGACUGCUUCUUCCCCUAGAGAACUCUGGAUUGCCCCUGACUUCUGAUCUACCCUGACUUGGGAAGUGGCCAUCAACUGUAGUUGCUCUUUACUGCAAAGAUCCAACUCAACAAGAUUUAUUCUUACAAUCACCCUGAAAAUUCCGGACUGGAUCAAGCCAGGGCCUCAAGUAUUUGGAAAGAGGUUUGUUUCAGAGAGCUGCGGAGGCCAGGCAGCAUGCAAUAUGAAUAUCCCUGCAUAAAGAAGGUUCUGAUAGGUCAAGAUGCCCCGACAAGCCACUGUGUGAAACUGUGAAGUUGAAGCCUGGUUGGCAAUGGAGCCUCCUGGACACUGGAGAUGUUAGAGCUGUGAAACAUUUGCCAAAGAGAGCUCCAUACAGGGAGUAGUGCCAGUCCAAGAGAGAGAUGUAUGUUGCAUACCACAAAGCUAGAGGAGCUGAGACAUCUAAGCUCUUUGGAAGUAAAAGUCUCAGAAGUUAGACAUGGAGCUACUGGAUUUGGUGUUUGCCCUGCUGGGUUUUGGUCUUGUUUUUGUCCAGUAUUUCCUCAGUAUGUCCCCAUUCCUCUGUUUUGUAAUGGGAAUGUAUAUUCAGAUCCAUUAUAUGUUGGGAGUAUGUAAUCUGUCUUUUGAUUUUACAGGGCUUACA
Long non-coding RNA from Nannospalax galili (Upper Galilee mountains blind mole rat), 834 nucleotides. RefSeq lists it as uncharacterized. The transcript is spliced from 3 exons. The record is from RefSeq and is a predicted model, not a curated record. NCBI's taxonomy places the organism in Eukaryota, Metazoa, Chordata, Mammalia, Rodentia, Spalacidae.